Molecule: ribosomal RNA, 465 nt
Filed under: uncultured bacterium
Lineage: Bacteria
Description: partial 16S ribosomal RNA
Rfam family: Bacterial small subunit ribosomal RNA
Source: RNAcentral
GACGAACGCUGGCGGCGUGCUUAACACAUGCAAGUCGUACGGUAAGGCCCUUUCGGGGGUCCACGAGUGGCGAACGGGUGAGUAACACGUAAGUAACCUGCCCACAACUUUGGGAUAACGCUAGGAAACUGGUGCUAAUACUGGAUAUGUGCCCCUGCUGCAUGGUGGGGGUUGGAAAGCUCCGGCGGUUGUGGAUGGACUCGCGGCCUAUCAGCUUGUUGGUGGGGUAGUGGCCUACCAAGGCGGCGACGGGUAGCCGGCCUGAGAGGGUGACCGGCCACAUUGGGACUGAGAUACGGCCCAGACUCCUACGGGAGGCAGCAGUGGGGAAUAUUGCACAAUGGGCGCAAGCCUGAUGCAGCAACGCCGCGGGCGGGAUGACGGCCUUCGGGUUGGAAACCGCUUUCAGCAGGGACGAAGCUUUUUGUGACGGUACCUGCAGAAGAAGCACCGGCUAACUACGUG